Molecule: ribosomal RNA, 677 nt
Filed under: Escherichia sp.
Lineage: Bacteria; Pseudomonadati; Pseudomonadota; Gammaproteobacteria; Enterobacterales; Enterobacteriaceae
Description: bacterial SSU rRNA
Rfam family: Bacterial small subunit ribosomal RNA
Source: RNAcentral
GGAGCAAACAGGAUUAGAUACCCUGGUAGUCCACGCCGUAAACGAUGUCGACUUGGAGGUUGUGCCCUUGAGGCGUGGCUUCCGGAGCUAACGCGUUAAGUCGACCGCCUGGGGAGUACGGCCGCAAGGUUAAAACUCAAAUGAAUUGACGGGGGCCCGCACAAGCGGUGGAGCAUGUGGUUUAAUUCGAUGCAACGCGAAGAACCUUACCUGGUCUUGACAUCCACGGAACUUUCCAGAGAUGAGAAGGUGCCUUCGGGAACCGUGAGACAGGUGCUGCAUGGCUGUCGUCAGCUCGUGUUGUGAAAUGUUGGGUUAAGUCCCGCAACGAGCGCAACCCUUAUCCUUUGUUGCCAGCGGUCCGGCCGGGAACUCAAAGGAGACUGCCAGUGAUAAACUGGAGGAAGGUGGGGAUGACGUCAAGUCAUCAUGGCCCUUACGACCAGGGCUACACACGUGCUACAAUGGCGCAUACAAAGAGAAGCGACCUCGCGAGAGCAAGCGGACCUCAUAAAGUGCGUCGUAGUCCGGAUUGGAGUCUGCAACUCGACUCCAUGAAGUCGGAAUCGCUAGUAAUCGUGGAUCAGAAUGCCACGGUGAAUACGUUCCCGGGCCUUGUACACACCGCCCGUCACACCAUGGGAGUGGGUUGCAAAAGAAGUAGGUAGCUUAACCUU